GGCCAUACCAUGCUGAAUAUACCGGUUCUCGUUAAAUCACCGAAGUGAAGCAUCAUUGGGCGCGGUCAGUACUUGGGUGGGUGACCACCUGGGAACACUGCGUGCCGUU
This 109-nucleotide ribosomal RNA is filed under the name Caerostris darwini. The record is from RNAcentral. Lineage: Eukaryota; Metazoa; Arthropoda; Arachnida; Araneae; Araneidae.